AUGAAGUCAGAAUGCACCUGGGGCUUCUCCUCAGCUUGUUUUUCUUUCCAGUGGCUUAUCUUCUUUAAAAGGAAAGAAAAAUUCUAAUUGGAUUGGUUGGAUCCCAGGUGGGAAGGCCAGGUGUACCUGUGCAUAGUCACUGCGCAAUCCCAGGCGAACGUGUGGGGCCCAGCACCUGCCACCACGUGAGCGCACAGCCUGGAACCUCUGUGAGCAAGAGGCAGCCUUUGCCACACACCACCCCUGCUGGUGUGUGGAGACCUCGGACUUCCAGCCUCCAGAACUGUGAGAAGUAAGUUUCUGUUGUUCAUGAGCCCCUCAGUCUGCAGUAUUUUGUUAUAGCAGCCCAAACGGACUGAGACCAUUGCACAUGUCUGUGAAUACAUUAAA
Molecule: long non-coding RNA, 390 nt
Organism: Lemur catta (Ring-tailed lemur)
Lineage: Eukaryota; Metazoa; Chordata; Mammalia; Primates; Lemuridae
Exons: 3
Source: RefSeq, a predicted model, not a curated record